Molecule: non-coding RNA, 69 nt
Organism: Phrynosoma platyrhinos (Desert horned lizard)
Lineage: Eukaryota; Metazoa; Chordata; Lepidosauria; Squamata; Phrynosomatidae
Source: the annotation of a GenBank genome assembly
GGCAUGGUGUAGUAGUUUAAGUGUUGGAUUACAACUCUGGGGACCAGGGUUCAAUUCCCUGCUAGGCCA